RNAcentral lists this ribosomal RNA (508 nucleotides) under uncultured bacterium. RNAcentral describes it as "partial 16S ribosomal RNA". It matches the Rfam family "Bacterial small subunit ribosomal RNA", at positions 30 to 523 of the family's 1533-position model. The record is from RNAcentral.
AUUGAACGCUGGCGGCAUGCCUUACACAUGCAAGUCGAACGGCAGCGGGGGAGAAGCUUGCUUUUCCUGCCGGCGAGUGGCGAACGGGUGAGUAAUACAUCGGAACGUGCCCUGUAGUGGGGGAUAACUAGUCGAAAGAUUAGCUAAUACCGCAUACGACCUGAGGGUGAAAGUGGGGGACCGCAAGGCCUCAUGCUAUAGGAGCGGCCGAUGUCUGAUUAGCUAGUUGGUGGGGUAAAGGCCUACCAAGGCGACGAUCAGUAGCUGGUCUGGGAGGACGAUCAGCCACACUGGAACUGAGGCACGGCCCAGACUCCUACGGGAGGCAGCAGUGGGGAAUUUUGGACAAUGGGCGAAAGCCUGAUCCAGCAAUGCCGCGUGUGUGAAGAAGGCCUUCGGGUUGUAAAGCACUUUUGUCCGGAAAGAAAUGGCUCUGGUUAAUACCUGGGGUCGAUGACGGUACCGGAAGAAUAAGGACCGGCUAACUACGUGCCAGCCGCCGCCGUAA